This is a small nucleolar RNA of Nymphaea colorata (pocket water lily), 98 nucleotides long. RefSeq annotates it as small nucleolar RNA snoR113. The record is from RefSeq and is a predicted model, not a curated record. The transcript has a single exon. Lineage: Eukaryota; Viridiplantae; Streptophyta; Magnoliopsida; Nymphaeales; Nymphaeaceae.
UGGCAAUGAGGACACAAAGGCCGGACUUACAGCUGCUCUGGUUACAAACCUGUUGGUAGUAGAAUGAUGUGGCACUUUGUGAGGUGUAACUGAGUCAG